RNAcentral lists this non-coding RNA (45 nucleotides) under Schistosoma bovis. RNAcentral also lists the same sequence under 1 other name. The record is from RNAcentral. Lineage: Eukaryota; Metazoa; Platyhelminthes; Trematoda; Strigeidida; Schistosomatidae.
AUCCAGUUGAUGAUUCCUAAAUAGGACGAAACGCGCGUCUUGGAU